GAUGAACGCUGGCGGCGUGCCUAAUACAUGCAAGUCGAGCGAACAGAUGAGGAGCUUGCUCCUCUGACGUUAGCGGCGGACGGGUGAGUAACACGUGGAUAACCUACCUAUAAGACUGGGAUAACUUCGGGAAACCGGAGCUAAUACCGGAUAAUAUAUUGAACCGCAUGGUUCAAUAGUGAAAGACGGUUUUGCUGUCACUUAUAGAUGGAUCCGCGCCGCAUUAGCUAGUUGGUAAGGUAACGGCUUACCAAGGCAACGAUGCGUAGCCGACCUGAGAGGGUGAUAGGCCACACUGGAACUGAGACAAGGUCCAGACUCCUACGGGAGGCAGCAGUAGGGAAUCUUCCGCAAUGGGCGAAAGCCUGACGGAGCAACGCCGCGUGAGUGAUGAAGGUCUUCGGAUCGUAAAACUCUGUUAUUAGGGAAGAACAAAUGUGUAAGUAACUAUGCACGUCUUGACGGUACCUAAUCAGAAAGCCACGGCUAACUACGUG
Molecule: ribosomal RNA, 497 nt
Filed under: uncultured bacterium
Lineage: Bacteria
Description: partial 16S ribosomal RNA
Rfam family: Bacterial small subunit ribosomal RNA
Source: RNAcentral